GACGAACCGUCCAAACGUUAUUCGGAAUCACUGGGCUUAAAGGGUGCGUAGGCGGCGCGGAAAGUUGGGUGUGAAAUCCCUCGGCUCAACCGAGGAAUUGCGCCCAAAACUACCGUGCUCGAGGGAGAUAGAGGUGAGCGGAACUUAGGGUGGAGCGGUGAAAUGCGUUGAUAUCCUAAGGAACACCGGUGGCGAAAGCGGCUCACUGGAUCUCUUCUGACGCUGAGGCACGAAAGCUAGGGUAGCAAACAGG
Molecule: ribosomal RNA, 253 nt
Filed under: uncultured bacterium
Lineage: Bacteria
Description: partial 16S ribosomal RNA
Rfam family: Bacterial small subunit ribosomal RNA
Source: RNAcentral